Tyto alba (common barn owl) is the source of this 2197-nucleotide long non-coding RNA. RefSeq lists it as uncharacterized. The transcript is spliced from 3 exons. The record is from RefSeq and is a predicted model, not a curated record. NCBI's taxonomy places the organism in Eukaryota, Metazoa, Chordata, Aves, Strigiformes, Tytonidae.
CCGCGCUGAAAACCUUCCGGGCGGCCGCGGAAAAAAGAAGGUUCCGGCCCGCGCUCCCUGCGGCUCACUCGAGAGUUAACAUCGUCACCCCCGCGCCAACCCAAAGAGGUCUAUUUGGACUAUUUUAAGUUCAGGGUAACUGAACUUCCCUGCACUCUGGGAGAGCACCAUAUCACAAUGAAAAGGGCUGCAAAGACUUCAUUCAUCAGUACUCAUCGAGAAGCCCUGCAGAGCUUCAAGUUAUAUGUGAAUGAACUGUAAAAGGGAGGCCUUCAUCACCAUUCUGCUCUUCAGGAUCUGGCAUGGUGUUUUAAUGGUUGGGGAAGAUCUUAAUUCGAUAAAAAAUACUUUGUUUUCAUUGGAAUUAAACCACGGUAAUGAGAAAGCUUCAAUCGUAGUCUUUGUGGAGGCUUUAAAGCUCUUCCUGCAACUUAUAAAUGAUAGAACACACAUGGAACACACAUUGCAGUUCGGACGAUGCACAGGAACUCAGCUAGUAGCUCCAUCACGUAUCUUCUGCACAUCAAGUACUUUUUCCCACACUAAUGAACACUCCCCUCCUUACUGUCCGUUAUAUUGUCAGCCAGGUUUCAAAACUACAAUGUCACAAAGUAUUUGUAUUGAAUGCUUAUUGCCCUAUUAUGUUUCAUGGGGUGGGAUCCUUAUCCUUCCACAGUCUUAAAAUUAGGCUUACAUAGGAUGUAAAUGGUAAACUAUUCAUAGGCACGCUAAUCCAGGAGUGCAGAAAGCCUCGGGCCUAUUAUAAAUUCCAGUAUCAAAUGUUGCAAUACUACAAAUAAAAAGAUAAUGAUAGCAAACCCAGAAACAAAACUAUUUUUUGUAUUUUGGUAUUUUGAGUCACACAUGUGAUUAGUAAUGAAUAAAAUGAACUGCUGUUUCCCUACUGUGACAUUUAUACCAAAAUAUUUGUGCAGGCAAAAAAGCCUGGAAUGUUUUUGCAUUAACAAACUGGCAAAGCAGAGCCCAUACUUUGUGUGACAGCGCAGCAACUGUUCUCAGGUAUUACACAGUAACACAACCCAUAUAUUUUAAUUAUUCAAAGUGAAAUGCAUGGUUUUCCACAGUGGCCCUGUUCCUGCCUAAACUAAACUGCUUUCACUGAAAUCAGCAGACAAUACCUCUUGGAAUGAGGCAAAUGGCUGAUUCCUAUAUUGCUAUUGAGAAUUACUGGUUUUUUUAAUCUCCUUCCCAGUGUGCCAAAGGUGUAUAUGCCUUAGUCUGCCUCUGUGCCACCUUACCAAAAAUGUAACUCUGCAUAAAGGGUAAAAACAGGGAGUGGGGGAAGAGUCCUGGGCUAUCGCUGCACACAGAAGAGCUAGCAAUCAGGAAACUUCACUCUAUCUUUAAAAAUGCUGGGCAGGAGCACUUGCCACCAGCUUCUCUGGAUCACGUGUAGUCCACAUGUCUGAACGCUGGGCCAGCACUCAUCUCCCUGCGUCAUCCUCCUGUCGUUGUUUCUCUCUCCUCUGAGGCAUCAACCAUUCUUCCCGAACGAAGGGUCAGCCCUUCAGAGCAGGCUCUGCCGGGGCUCAGACGCACGGCUGAAUCACCGCCACUGGAGGAGUCAGCUGAGCUGUGCACUGCUCACCCUGUGUGCAUGUGAAGUAAAAAGCCUUCCACCGAAGUUUAAGCUAAGACAUUUACUCAGCUCACAGGCAACGUGUGGCCCCACACAGACUCACCCUGGGGUAGCUAGCUUGACUCCGUGCUUCAGUCUGAGCAUGGACAACUGUUGCUUUGCAGUGUUUCAUCAUGCCAGUGAUGUCUGUUAGUCCUGGGGCUCUUUUUGGCUGGGAGCAUCUCAAAACCAGGGUUAGGGGUGAUUUCCCGCCUCAUGACUUGGGCCAGCUGUACCUUACGUACUUUUGUGGUGGUAAAGCAUGCUCACUUCCAGACCAGAUGGUACAAAGCACCGUUUGUGUAAGUAAUAAUCAGACCCAGUAACUUCAGAGCUAAAAACCAGCCCCACUUCAGCAGUGUUGUGUAAGGGUUACCUUUGCUGGGCUUUUAACACAGAUGGUACAUUAAUGUUUUACUGUAACAUUUUCUCUUGAAGAACAUCCUAGCAAUAAACACCUCAAGAUGAAUAGUUCUCAACUGAUGGCUAAUACACAACAAUCGGAGAAGCCAGCAGCAGGAAAACAAUCCCCUGUGAUGAUAAUUGGUGUAUAUUACA